This 253-nucleotide ribosomal RNA is filed under the name uncultured bacterium. RNAcentral describes it as "partial 16S ribosomal RNA". It matches the Rfam family "Bacterial small subunit ribosomal RNA", at positions 524 to 776 of the family's 1533-position model. The record is from RNAcentral.
GACGAACCGUGCGAACGUUAUUCGGAAUCACUGGGCUUAAAGGGCGCGUAGGCGGGUCGUCAAGUCAGGGGUGAAAGCCCACGGCCCAACCGUGGAAGUGCCUUUGAUACUGACUGUCUUGAGGGAGGUAGGGGCAUGCGGAACUUCCGGUGGAGCGGUGAAAUGCGUAGAGAUCCGGAGGAACACCAGUGGCGAAGGCGACACGCUGGGCCGUACCUGACGCUGAGGCGCGAAAGCGUGGGGAGCAAACAGG